CCCUUUGAUACUCUGGGCGGCACGCGCGCUACACUGGUUUAUAUAACGUGUAAUUUGGACGAUAGUCUGUAUAAAUCACUAAUAUAAUACCGUGAAUGGGAUAGUUUAUUGCAACUUACAAACUUUAACUAGGAAUCCCUUGUAGAAGUAGUGAAUUAUACUGCUUCGAAUACGUCCCUGCCGAUUGUACACACCGCCCGUCGUUUCUUCCGACUGGUACUCAUUGUGAAUUGUGAGGAGAUUCUGUCAAAUCGUUGUAAAUGCUGGGUAUUGGAGGAAGAAAAAGUCGUAACA
This 294-nucleotide ribosomal RNA is filed under the name uncultured eukaryote. RNAcentral describes it as "partial 18S ribosomal RNA". It matches the Rfam family "Eukaryotic small subunit ribosomal RNA", at positions 1470 to 1796 of the family's 1831-position model. The record is from RNAcentral.